GACGAACGCUGGCGGCGUGCCUAAUACAUGCAAGUUGAGCGCUGAAGGUUGGUACUUGUACCAACUGGAUGAGCAGCGAACGGGUGAGUAACGCGUGGGGAAUCUGCCUUUGAGCGGGGGACAACAUUUGGAAACGAAUGCUAAUACCGCAUAAAAACUUUAAACACAAGUUUUAAGUUUGAAAGAUGCAAUUGCAUCACUCAAAGAUGAUCCCGCGUUGUAUUAGCUAGUUGGUGAGGUAAAGGCUCACCAAGGCGAUGAUACAUAGCCGACCUGAGAGGGUAAGCGGCAACAUUGGGACUGAGACACGGCCCAAACUCCUACGGGAGGCAGCAGUAGGGAAUCUUCGGCAAUGGACGAAAGUCUGACCGAGCAACGCCGCGUGAGUGAAGAAGGUUUUCGGAUCGUAAAACUCUGUUGGUAGAGAAGAACGUUGGUGAGAGUGGAAAGCUCAUCAAGUGACGGUAACUACACAGAAAGGGACGGCUAACUACGUG
Molecule: ribosomal RNA, 497 nt
Filed under: uncultured bacterium
Lineage: Bacteria
Description: partial 16S ribosomal RNA
Rfam family: Bacterial small subunit ribosomal RNA
Source: RNAcentral